Lethenteron reissneri (Far Eastern brook lamprey) is the source of this 224-nucleotide long non-coding RNA. RefSeq lists it as uncharacterized. NCBI's taxonomy places the organism in Eukaryota, Metazoa, Chordata, Hyperoartia, Petromyzontiformes, Petromyzontidae. The record is from RefSeq and is a predicted model, not a curated record.
AACGUAGCGAGGUAACGAGAAGCUGCCGAUGAAAUCCGAGGCCGUGGAUUCAUUCAAGACAAGAGUCCAAGUCUCGGGCGAAGCCAGCUGUCGCUUGCUCUGACGCUUCCUCUGCAGAAUUGGUCUGAUGGAACACAGGCAGUCAGCGCGGCUCGGUACGGCAAGGCAACAAUGGGACCAGCGUGCAUACAUCACGGUUCGGACUGGAAGUUUGACACAGCACC